CUAACAUGCCACAUGUCCUUUUCUUUUAUUUUAUUUUUAAAAUUUUGGCCUUUCAAUUUCAGUGUAGCGUCUUUAAAAAAUAAAUAAAUAAAUAUAUAAUCUAAGUGAAGCGUUACAAUUAUUUUUUUUCCCUUUCAGGGGUUACAAGUAUUUCUUUUCCUCUAUUGUUCUUCAUUUGUUUCUUAAAUACGGAGUACUCAGUUCAUCAUUCCAUCUCCUAUAUCUCUAAAAGCCUUCCAUAAUCAUUUUCGCAUUUGCUCUGCAUAUAAGAAUCAAGGGAAAGGCAUGCAACAACUCCAAUUGACAUUAUAGCACACAAAUCUGUUAACCAAUAUGAAUUACAUUAGCCUUCUAUUACUUCAAUUUAGAGUUGUAAUAUUAAUUUGUCUUCCUAGAUAUUAUCAGUCAUACUCUAUUAUUUAAGUUGUCUGCACUAAAUCUAAAUACUCUUCCAAAAAAAAAAAUUAAAUAAAUAAAAAAAUAAAAAAUAAAAAAUAAAAUCUAAAUACUCUAGCCAAGUACUAUUUUAUUGUAUGAAUGGAAAUAGCCAAAUAGGGAAUAUUUAUUUAACUCUGCCAAUUUGUCAUUGUAUAUCUAUCAUUAGUAAUGCAUAAAUAUUAUGAUCAAAAUGAUCACCAA
Molecule: long non-coding RNA, 639 nt
Organism: Chenopodium quinoa (quinoa)
Lineage: Eukaryota; Viridiplantae; Streptophyta; Magnoliopsida; Caryophyllales; Amaranthaceae
Exons: 2
Source: RefSeq, a predicted model, not a curated record